Molecule: ribosomal RNA, 223 nt
Filed under: uncultured bacterium
Lineage: Bacteria
Description: partial 16S ribosomal RNA
Rfam family: Bacterial small subunit ribosomal RNA
Source: RNAcentral
ACGCUCGACACCUACAGGAGGCAGCAGUAGGGAAUCUUCCACAAUGGACGCAAGUCUGAUGGAGCAACGCCGCGUGAGUGAAGAAGGUCUUCGGAUCGUAAAACUCUGUUGUUAGAGAAGAACACGAGUGAGAGUAACUGUUCAUUCGAUGACGGUAUCUAACCAGCAAGUCACGGCUAACUACGUGCCAGAAGCCGCGGUAAUCUGAGCGGGCUGGCAAGGC